UAGGGAAUAAGCUGUGCUGUAAAACUAACCCAUAGUCAUUUCCCACAGGGAUGAAGGAUGACUUUUGCUAAUACUGCACCAGAGCACACAAUCACACCAAGAAGUCUAUAAUCACUGUAAGAGAACAGGUUAACAAGGACUUUUAGGAAGCUUGAAGUCACAGACUGUGAUGGAGACCUACGUGUUCAAUCUAUUAAGAGCUUCUAACUAGCUGGCUUGUGUGGAAGAUCCAGUAAAGGAGUCUAGGGAUGAUUCUGGGGGAAGAGUGGAGCUUCAAGGUGAAGGAAGAACAACAUUAUGAGCAGAGAGAGACAGGAUGUUCAUUUAAAGUAUAAGAGCUUCGGCAGUCAUUUGUGAAGGAAAGUUAACCAGCCAUCAGAAGUACAGAUAGGACUCAUAUAAAAGGUAAUGUGGCUACAUUUCCCCAAAUCUCUGAGGUCCACAGCCUUCCAAGAUGUCCC
RNAcentral lists this long non-coding RNA (461 nucleotides) under Cricetulus griseus (Chinese hamster). Its description in RNAcentral is "lncRNA (ENSCGRG00000024789.1)". Lineage: Eukaryota; Metazoa; Chordata; Mammalia; Rodentia; Cricetidae. The record is from RNAcentral.